UUCCUCUCCUUCUAUCCCUCCUUCCAUCUGGAUGUUGUACUGUUCUAUAAAUUUGAAUGUUGUAUUGUUCUAUCAAUUUUACAUUUUGACUGAAAUAGAGUGUUGUGCUUGUGCAAUUGUGACUUUGUGAGUGAUGUGCAAUUGACAGAAAUUAAGUGUUGUAGUUGAAUGGGUGUUCGGUAGUAGCUCUUAUUGCUACAUAAUUUCUUUGUUAAGUGCUAUGAAUUCAAGUGGUACUCCACUUAAUUGUUCAGUUAUGCAAUCUGAAAAGCUAAUAUUGUUAAGUCUGGAAGGGUUUGGAGCCCAGAGUAUUGUUGUUUUCUUGCAUUGAAUAUUCUUCUGUAUAUACGUUGAUCCGAAAGGUCCCAUUUUUGUAUCAAAUAGACUUUACAAGUCUAGUUUCUUUGCUCUCUGGAGAAUCUGUUUCUCUCUGACUCAUGCUAUUGUAUUUAGCAGUCAAUGGAGCAAUAGGUUGUUAUAUUAUUGAUGAUGGACUUAUCCUUUGUCCUUUCUCGGAUAGCCUUAUGGCAGACAGAAGUGAUGGACCAAUUGGUAGUCUCCCUGAACAUCUCCUUGUAGAAGUAUUCACUCGGUUACCAAUCCGUGAGUGGGUUCAAAUAUCAUGUGUUAGCUUGCAUUGGGCAAGUUUAUUUCAAGGAGAAUACUUGUGGCACGAUAUGACUUUCAGCACAUAAGUGCGACGAUGAUUAUCUAAUUUUUCCAUUAAUUCUUGAACUGCACAUAUGGAUGCAGCCGCUUUUUACUGAGCUUGGAAAAGAACCACCAGCACACUUAUUCCCUCGUCGGCAACAAGUGCAAAUACAGUUUCAGAUCCAAAGUGAUGGAAUGGAUGGUGCUGGAACCAAUGCUGAUCAAUGUGGAGAUCAAUGACACUACUAUUGACUUGGAGCCUUGACCAACAAUUGAUGUUGACAGUGAAGCCGAUGCUGAUCCUAGUAGCGCGGUGAUGUAUUUAUUUUGAUGGAUGAACCUAGUAGCAUAUGGUGAUGUUGACACAAAAUGAUGUCUAGUAUGACUUUUGCGGGUUCUUAUUUGGAUGAAUGCAAUGUGCCAUUGAUGUCAUGCAUUUAAUUGUUGUGCGUAUAUCUUGCAAUUAAAAUACUGAUCUAGAACUAUUUAUUAAAUUUCUGCAGAUCCCAAUUGUGAA
Long non-coding RNA from Brachypodium distachyon (stiff brome), 1168 nucleotides. RefSeq lists it as uncharacterized. NCBI's taxonomy places the organism in Eukaryota, Viridiplantae, Streptophyta, Magnoliopsida, Poales, Poaceae. The record is from RefSeq and is a predicted model, not a curated record. The transcript is spliced from 2 exons.